RNAcentral lists this non-coding RNA (25 nucleotides) under Cricetulus griseus (Chinese hamster). The record is from RNAcentral. Lineage: Eukaryota; Metazoa; Chordata; Mammalia; Rodentia; Cricetidae. RNAcentral also lists the same sequence under 1 other name.
AUGUGGCUCUGUGGCGCAAUGGAUA